This is a long non-coding RNA of Heterocephalus glaber (naked mole-rat), 305 nucleotides long. Lineage: Eukaryota; Metazoa; Chordata; Mammalia; Rodentia; Bathyergidae. The record is from Ensembl.
CCAAGGCCCACAGCUGGAGCCGUGGCAGAUGCUGAGUGACAAUCUUCCUCUUGUGGCUGAACAGGAAUCAGUGUGCAGAUUUCAGACCUUUAUGUUUGCUCUGCAUUGAGACAUGGAUCAUCAGAACCAGAUUGGGAACAACUUUGAAGUUUUCAAAGAUAGGGCUGCUAUGUUGUCCAGGCUGGUCUCAAAUUCCUGAGCUCAAGUGAUCCUCCUGCUUCAACCUCCUGAGUAGCUGGGACUGCAGACUUGUGUCACCCUAACCCAGCCCUUGUGUGUGGCUUUCAAACCUUGCAAAAACCGAU